This is a long non-coding RNA of Lagenorhynchus albirostris (white-beaked dolphin), 3769 nucleotides long. RefSeq lists it as uncharacterized. NCBI's taxonomy places the organism in Eukaryota, Metazoa, Chordata, Mammalia, Artiodactyla, Delphinidae. The record is from RefSeq and is a predicted model, not a curated record. The transcript is spliced from 7 exons.
UUUCUGGUUAUGCUCCCACCUGUCCACAGUUGCUGUUCACUUCAUCUUUUCAUUUUGACCUCUUGAAUUGGCCAGAGUACAUCUAGGUGGCCCGAUUUCAUUUAGCAGAGAUUCAAACUCCUAUGAAAUUACAUCCUAGAGGGUUUUUUUAUCCUAAAUUUUUAUUUAUUUGUCUGAUCUUGUUCCACGUAGAAUUUGAAGCAGGCAUGUGUGUUUGGACAGCAUUUUUUUCCCUCUUAAAUGGCAGGGAUCCAUUCCUGCUGGGCUGAGAACGCUUCCUCAUGGCAGGCUGUUUAAGCAGAUGAAAGAACACCAAUAAGGAAGGAGCACCAAAGGCACUUGAAAAACCUCAACCAUUUCCACUUCUGGAAUCACAGAAUGCCAGGAUGGCUCAAGUGCCACCUCCUCUAGGAAGCCUUCCCUCAAACCUCUACCCACUCACCCAGAAAGUUAUGAUACCCACUUCCUCUGAGUGCCAGCAGCCAAGAGCCAGAAGCACGACAAGUUCCUUUCCAGAAACUACAGAAGACAAUGUGAUGACAAACCAGAGGAACAGAGAGGAAGACAUUUGAAAAUGCUACACUGCUCCCUUUGAAGAUGGAAGCCAAGAGAUGCAGGUGGCCUCUGGAAGCUGAAAAAGGCAAGGAAACAGAUUCUUCCCUGGAGCCUCCAAAAGGAACCAGCCCUGUCAUCACUUUGACCUUAGCCCAGUGAAACUGACUUUGGACUUCUGGCCUCCAGAACUGAGAGAGAAUACACUUGUGUUGAUUUAAGCCACUACAUUUAUGGUGAUUUCUUACAGUAGCCACAGGAAACUAAUGCAACUACUGAGCCAGCCCGUCCCCUACCAACUGCUCAGAUGUAGCAUGGUUCCCGAGAACAGCUGACACCUGGUGGGCACAUCAUCAAGCAACGGGCAAUGGCAACCCAUCGCAGGGGGUGCCUGGGACUGGGAGCACACAGAAGGGCCCGUCUGGUCUGAAGGGUCAGGGAAGACUUCCUGAGUGCCAGCUUGCUUCAGCCUAGGCUGGGAGGAAAGGGAAAGGGAAAGGGUGGGUGCUGAACAGAAGAGGAGCGAGUGCAAAGGCCAGGAGACUUUCAGCUGGGUUUCAGUCACCUGCAACCAGGCGAGUCCUGCCUGACUGGUGUGUGCUCAGAAAACGCGCACAGACUGUGACUGAGUGAGCCCUCUGAGUGGGAAGGGCCUCGCUGCCCUGUAGGACCAUCCAGACUUGGAGGGAUUCUGCAUUUGGCCUGGGAAAGCACCCUCUCCAUUCUCCGCCCCCCUGCAGGGCCUGGCAUCCGAAUCUAGGUUCCUUCCAAAGGAGGAUGAGGCUUGGCUCAGGGCAGGUGUGCAGCUGGCUGAAUCCUAGUUUUCCUCUACCUGAAGCAAACCUCCCUCAACAGGGAAGGUCUCAGGUUCUGCUAGGAGCUGGGAAAUGGGAAAGGCGGUUGAGUGCUAAAGUCCUGGAAUGAACAGCCCACGGGCAGCUUUGGAUGGUCUUCUGGACACUGACGGUGAUGAUGAUGAUAAUGAAAAUGAUGGCAGCUACCACUUCCUGAUCACCUGCUAUGCUCCGCCCUCAUUACCCACGUGAUUUUGCAAGUGUGAGCAAGUCUGGGGUGCAGUAUGGGGCAGUGAGUUCCACCUUGGGCUGGGAAGGGAAGGCCUCGAGGGAGGAAGCCAAGGUCCUCAGCAGACCCUGACUCCCGUACCUGCUGAAUGAACAACACAGAUGCCCAGUGGAUAGUGGCCACUGCCUUCAUUCCUUUGCCAUCGCUGGACGAACUGUGCUCCUGGAAGUCAGGGCUGUGGGCUCUGAGAGCCUGAUGAGCUUAGAGACUCAGAACUGGCCUCUGGAGUUGGGUGUGGACAUUGGUGUAAAAUUACAGCUGAGAAGGACCCUGCCCUGGGGGAAAGAUGCAUCUGGGGAGAACAGAAAUUUAUUUUGCAAGUCCUGGUUCUUCGUCUUCGCCUCCGUUCCCUUUGGAAAGCAGGCUUCUAAACCUGGAACUUUCAGUCUUCCUCUUUGAUGUCCACUCACAUUGUCACAUAAUCAUGACAAUAAUAGGAGUAUCAGCUCUCUCAGGUGACAUGUACAUGCUAAGUGCUAUACAUCUAGCUUCCCAUUUGUCAGAAACUCCUAGGAGGUACAUUGUUAAUGUAGAUUACAGGUAAGGAAAUAAAGUCAGGGGCAACUGCAGGUCCCUGCUCUUAAUCAUGACUAUUGCCUUUCUUAGUCUUUACUUAGUAUCCAGUCUCUGUCACUCUGUGACCUUAGGCAUAUGACUACUCCUCUCAGCCUCAGUUUCCUUACCUGUAAAAUGGGGAUAAUAACAACACCUCCUGGAGUUGUUGUGAUGAUUAAAUGAGAAUAACACUACUUAAGAAGCAGAAGCUUCUGUUAUUAUUAUUACUAUUACAACUAUACUACCACUAUUAUUAUUACACCUCUUUUUUUUUUAAUUUAUUUGGUUGCAUUUGGUCUUAGUUGUGGCAGCCAGACUCCUUAGUUGUGGCUCACCGGCUCCUUAGCUGUGGUACGCGAACUCCUUGUUACGUACGGUGUGCACGUGGGAUCUAGCUCCCAGACCAGCGAUGGAAACUGGGAAGCUCCCUUUUACUUUUUAAAGGGUACUUAAUAACUCUUUGGUAUCAUUAGAACAUUUAAAGUUACAGUGUGGCUCUCAUCAUACUUAUGUUGGACAGUGCAGGCUCUGUUAGGUCUUAAAACCCUUGCAUCUUGCAAGGGGACAGAGAUGACAGUUGCCCUCCUUCAGCAAGUGAAAACAGCAAGUAAACUUCAGCAUAAAACAAGCAUUGGGACCACACAAGCUGUGAGGGUGAGGGGACUGGGGGAUGGGCACGCUUUUUCCAAGUUGGAGGGGAGAGAUGAGAGCACUCUUGACGGAGGGACUGCCUGAGCAAAGGCCUGGAGGUGGGAUUGGAGGAACUUCUGCACGCUUGCCUGGGUAGAAGAGCUCCCUCCAAUCCUACUCCCAUGGGCUGACCUGGCAAAUCGCACAACUUUGAGAAGCAGGCUCACAGUGCUCCAACCUUCCACCCGAUGUUCAUCUUCAGGUACAGGUAGAAUCUUCCUUGUGGAUGUCUGUGAAUUUGCUGUUGUCUUGUCAGGUCCAUCCUGACAUGUAGGGGUUACUGCUCGACUUAUGUUUUCUUUGUCAGUUCCUUCUGACUGGGAUCUCGCGGGGCUGGAACAGAUUGGUGUCAACAUCUGUGGGUAACAGACAUGGAGAGGAGCCUUGGCUUCUUACAGAGACAGACUGGAGUCUGGGAAAAUGCAGCUAAUUCUAGAUUUUUCAGCGUCUGGUUGAGAAGUCUCUGUUAAUUUUGCCAGUUUUCAGUUACAUUUAUUGAGCGCUGAUGGUAUUCCAGGCACUCUGCUAAGAGUUUUGCUUGCAUUAUUUAAUAACCCCAGGAGUUGAUGUGUUGGCUCCAUUUCCCGGAUGAGAAAACACUCUUGCUGAGGUUAUUUGUUCGAGGUCAUCGAGCCAGGAUAGCCAGAAUUCACACCGAAAGCCUGAGCCUUUCGCUUCUCUACACUCUUCCAUUCUGGAUGGUUCUACCAAGAAGAGAUCAAAGAAGCCUAGGAAAAAAAUUUAGAAAACAGAUUGGGUGUUUGAAGUGAAGACCUUGUCAGCAAAACUGUGGAAUGCAUUGGCUAAAACGCUCCCUGCAGAAAUGCCUGCCCUGAGUUGUUCAGCCCUCAUCUUUUAUCACAUAUUGAUAAAGAGCCAUUUGAAGACC